This 468-nucleotide ribosomal RNA is filed under the name uncultured bacterium. RNAcentral describes it as "partial 16S ribosomal RNA". It matches the Rfam family "Bacterial small subunit ribosomal RNA", at positions 28 to 507 of the family's 1533-position model. The record is from RNAcentral.
GACGAACGCUGGCGGCGUGCUUAACACAUGCAAGUCGAGCGGAAAGACCCUGCUUUUGUGGGGUGCUCGAGUGGCGAACGGGUGAGUAACACGUGAGUAACCUGCCCUUGACUUUGGGAUAACUUCAGGAAACUGGGGCUAAUACCGGAUAGGAGCUCCUGCUGCAUGGUGGGGGUUGGAAAGUUUCGGCGGUUGGGGAUGGACUCGCGGCUUAUCAGCUUGUUGGUGGGGUAGUGGCAUACCAAGGCUUUGACGGGUAGCCGGCCUGAGAGGGUGACCGGCCACAUUGGGACUGAGAUACGGCCCAGACUCCUACGGGAGGCAGCAGUGGGGAAUAUUGCACAAUGGGCGGAAGCCUGAUGCAGCAACGCCGCGUGCGGGAUGACGGCCUUCGGGUUGUAAACCGCUUUCGCCUGUGACGAAGCGUGAGUGACGGUAAUGGGUAAAGAAGCACCGGCUAACUACGUG